AAUGCACAUGCUGUGAGCUCGAUGAGUAGGGCGGGACACGUGGUAUCCUGUCUGAAUAUGGGGGGACCAUCCUCCAAGGCUAAAUACUCCUGACUGACCGAUAGUGAACCAGUACCGUGAGGGAAAGGCGAAAAGAACCCCGGCGAGGGGAGUGAAAAAGAACCUGAAACCGUGUACGUACAAGCAGUGGGAGCCUCUUUUAUGGGGUGACUGCGUACCUUUUGUAUAAUGGGUCAGCGACUUAUAUUCUGUAGCAAGGUUAACCGAAUAGGGGAGCCGAAGGGAAACCGAGUCUUAACUGGGCGUUAAGUUGCAGGGUAUAGACCCGAAACCCGGUGAUCUAGCCAUGGGCAGGUUGAAGGUUGGGUAACACUAACUGGAGGACCGAACCGACUAAUGUUGAAAAAUUAGCGGAUGACUUGUGGCUGGGGGUGAAAGGCCAAUCAAACCGGGAGAUAGCUGGUUCUCCCCGAAAGCUAUUUAGGUAGCGCCUCGUGAAUUCAUCUCCGGGGGUAGAGCACUGUUUCGGCAAGGGGGUCAUCCCGACUUACCAACCCGAUGCAAACUGCGAAUACCGGAGAAUGUUAUCACGGGAGACACACGGCGGGUGCUAACGUCCGUCGUGAAGAGGGAAACAACCCAGACCGCCAGCUAAGGUCCCAAAGUCAUGGUUAAGUGGGAAACGAUGUGGGAAGGCCCAGACAGCCAGGAUGUUGGCUUAGAAGCAGCCAUCAUUUAAAGAAAGCGUAAUAGCUCACUGGUCGAGUCGGCCUGCGCGGAAGAUGUAACGGGGCUAAACCAUGCACCGAAGCUGCGGCAGCGACGCUUAUGCGUUGUUGGGUAGGGGAGCGUUCUGUAAGCCUGCGAAGGUGUACUGUGAGGUAUGCUGGAGGUAUCAGAAGUGCGAAUGCUGACAUAAGUAACGAUAAAGCGGGUGAAAAGCCCGCUCGCCGGAAGACCAAGGGUUCCUGUCCAACGUUAAUCGGGGCAGGGUGAGUCGACCCCUAAGGCGAGGCCGAAAGGCGUAGUCGAUGGGAAACAGGUUAAUAUUCCUGUACUUGGUGUUACUGCGAAGGGGGGACGGAGAAGGCUAUGUUGGCCGGGCGACGGUUGUCCCGGUUUAAGCGUGUAGGCUGGUUUUCCAGGCAAAUCCGGAAAAUCAAGGCUGAGGCGUGAUGACGAGGCACUACGGUGCUGAAGCAACAAAUGCCCUGCUUCCAGGAAAAGCCUCUAAGCAUCAGGUAACAUCAAAUCGUACCCCAAACCGACACAGGUGGUCAGGUAGAGAAUACCAAGGCGCUUGAGAGAACUCGGGUGAAGGAACUAGGCAAAAUGGUGCCGUAACUUCGGGAGAAGGCACGCUGAUAUGUAGGUGAAGUCCCUCGCGGAUGGAGCUGAAAUCAGUCGAAGAUACCAGCUGGCUGCAACUGUUUAUUAAAAACACAGCACUGUGCAAACACGAAAGUGGACGUAUACGGUGUGACGCCUGCCCGGUGCCGGAAGGUUAAUUGAUGGGGUUAGCGCAAGCGAAGCUCUUGAUCGAAGCCCCGGUAAACGGCGGCCGUAACUAUAACGGUCCUAAGGUAGCGAAAUUCCUUGUCGGGUAAGUUCCGACCUGCACGAAUGGCGUAAUGAUGGCCAGGCUGUCUCCACCCGAGACUCAGUGAAAUUGAACUCGCUGUGAAGAUGCAGUGUACCCGCGGCAAGACGGAAAGACCCCGUGAACCUUUACUAUAGCUUGACACUGAACAUUGAGCCUUGAUGUGUAGGAUAGGUGGGAGGCUUAGAAGUGUGGACGCCAGUCUGCAUGGAGCCGACCUUGAAAUACCACCCUUUAAUGUUUGAUGUUCUAACGUUGACCCGUAAUCCGGGUUGCGGACAGUGUCUGGUGGGUAGUUUGACUGGGGCGGUCUCCUCCUAAAGAGUAACGGAGGAGCACGAAGGUUGGCUAAUCCUGGUCGGACAUCAGGAGGUUAGUGCAAUGGCAUAAGCCAGCUUGACUGCGAGCGUGACGGCGCGAGCAGGUGCGAAAGCAGGUCAUAGUGAUCCGGUGGUUCUGAAUGGAAGGGCCAUCGCUCAACGGAUAAAAGGUACUCCGGGGAUAACAGGCUGAUACCGCCCAAGAGUUCAUAUCGACGGCGGUGUUUGGCACCUCGAUGUCGGCUCAUCACAUCCUGGGGCUGAAGUAGGUCCCAAGGGUAUGGCUGUUCGCCAUUUAAAGUGGUACGCGAGCUGGGUUUAGAACGUCGUGAGACAGUUCGGUCCCUAUCUGCCGUGGGCGCUGGAGAACUGAGGGGGGCUGCUCCUAGUACGAGAGGACCGGAGUGGACGCAUCACUGGUGUUCGGGUUGUCAUGCCAAUGGCACUGCCCGGUAGCUAAAUGCGGAAGAGAUAAGUGCUGAAAGCAUCUAAGCACGAAACUUGCCCCGAGAUGAGUUCUCCCUGACUCCUUGAGAGUCCUGAAGGAACGUUGAAGACGACGACGUUGAUAGGCCGGGUGUGUAAGCGCAGCGAUGCGUUGAGCUAACCGGUACUAAUGAACCGUGAGGCUUAACCUUACAACGCCGAAGGUGUUU
This 2576-nucleotide ribosomal RNA is filed under the name Escherichia coli. RNAcentral describes it as "bacterial LSU rRNA". It matches the Rfam family "Bacterial large subunit ribosomal RNA", at positions 387 to 2925 of the family's 2925-position model. Lineage: Bacteria; Pseudomonadati; Pseudomonadota; Gammaproteobacteria; Enterobacterales; Enterobacteriaceae. The record is from RNAcentral.